Molecule: long non-coding RNA, 839 nt
Organism: Ictalurus punctatus (channel catfish)
Lineage: Eukaryota; Metazoa; Chordata; Actinopteri; Siluriformes; Ictaluridae
Source: Ensembl
UGCGGUUAUUUUCAACACGUGAUUUUCGAGUCACUAAUCGGCGGUCUGCUUAAUUGGCCUUAGUGGUUUGUAACCGUGGAGCAUCUUAGCGAAAGUAACAGUACGUAUGCUUAUUUUUCCAAAUAAACAUUUAAAAGUGGAGCUCAAGAGCGAAUUGAGAAGAAAGAGAAAGAAUUUGACAAGGCAAAGCUUCUGUAAUUAGAUAAAUUUCUUCCUGUAUCUCGUCUACAUUCAUCGGAUUUAAGUGCCAUUAUUUGUGGGAAGGAAAUGACGUCGAAUGACCAACAAAUGAGGCAAAAUUACAUGCAGUGGAAUGGCACGCCGCAGACGUAAUGGCACGGAACCGAUAUACGCUUUGGCGAGAUGCUUAACAUGGGUCGUCUUUCACGCGGACAGUUGGAAAGACCGUUUCACUCUAGCACGAGUUUAUCGGCGUAUCAUUUAUGGAGGACGAUUCUGCCAAACCCUGGAGUCUUCCAUUUUAAAACACGUAAAGGAAGACGCUCAUGCGUUCCUAAAUGCCGACUUUGAUGCAAAGCCCUGCCAGGCGUGUAGUGUACGACCGAUUUUUAUUUCUUUGCUGCGGAGAGUAUUUCGUCCUUCUCUUUUUUUUUUCUUUCUUUUUUUUUCUUUUUUUUUUAAAAUAUAAACUCAUUUCACUCAAUGUGUUUGAAAGAAUGCUGAGGUUCAUUCUGGCUGAAUGAUUUGCACUUGCAUUUAUGGCUCAUGAAAGGUUGGCUAUGUGAGCUGGUUGGAGGGACUAAAUAGAGCUUGUAAGUAGGGAUGCACCAAUACUGAUAUUGGGUGUGUGUAUCCUGUUACAUAGGCUUUGUGUGUGU